This 1008-nucleotide long non-coding RNA is filed under the name Apteryx haastii (Great spotted kiwi). RNAcentral describes it as "lncRNA (ENSAHAG00000014064.1)". Lineage: Eukaryota; Metazoa; Chordata; Aves; Apterygiformes; Apterygidae. The record is from RNAcentral.
AUGUGUGUGCCGGUGAGCGCAUCCCUGUGGGCACACGUCCAUGUGCCUGCGUUACGGUGCCCGCAUGAGCGUGCACAUGCGGGGCAGCACACCUGGGAGCGGGUGCACGGCCCCGCAGCCGGCACUGCACCAGCGCCAUCUCCCUGGCACUGUCCUGCCUGCCCUCCCGGAAAGCCUGGAGGUUCCAAGAGCACUGGAGCCGCUUGCUGUUCUGCCUCGCUUGUCCCCCUCUCCUCCCCCUCAGCUUCCCCUGUGGAGCUAAAACAGCYGAGCUCUGCUGUUCGUGAGCCCGGCUGGCACGUGCACCCGGGUGCGAGUGCACCGGUGCAUGUUGGAGAGGUGCGUGCAGCAUGGCGUGGGGGCACCGUGCUUGCCCCAGACCCUGCGGUGAAGGACCCAAAGGCUUUCUCCCUGGCAUCCCUCUCGGACCCGCUCCCACACCGGCUCUGUGGGGCUCCCAAAACGGCAGCACCCCGCUGCAGCAGCCUGCAGGCCCCCUGCCCACCCAGGGCUGGUGGCAGCCACGAAGUCCCUCGUUACGUCGCUGGCGCCCUGCCGGGCGGUUCGUGGCCUUUUCUGCCUGUGACUCAGUGUUUGUCUGGAGCCCAGAUGAGCUGGGAGCUGGCGCGAGGGUUUGUUUGGGGGUUUUGCAGCAAGGCUGCAGCCCCGCGACAGGCGCCUGCUCUGGCUUCCCGUGGCAGGGAUGUGGCGACGUGGGGUCCCGCUCCAUGCUGCCCCGGGAACGGCCAGGGACGCGGUGCCCGGUUUGCGAGCUGCGAUGGUGGGGAGGUGUGGGCUGGCGGGACUGGUGCUGGGGCUGCUGGUGUCCGGCAGGACACGUACGCAUGUGCUCCCGGUGGCGGUAGGGCUUGCUUCCCCGGUGAAGUCCCGGCCUUCCUUGCAGGCCACGCACAGGAAAGCUGUUCCAGGUCGUUCGUGGGGUGCGUUUGGCUCACUGGCUCUGCUGCUUCUCUCUCCGUGAACGCUGCAGCCUCUGGCAGCUGCUGA